This 141-nucleotide ribosomal RNA is filed under the name uncultured bacterium. RNAcentral's name for it is "partial 16S rRNA". It matches the Rfam family "Bacterial small subunit ribosomal RNA", at positions 355 to 511 of the family's 1533-position model. The record is from RNAcentral.
UGGGGAAUUUUCCGCAAUGGGCGAAAGCCUGACGGAGCAAUGCCGCGUGGAGGUGGAAGGCCUACGGGUCAUCAACUUCUUUUCUCGGAGAAGAAACAAUGACGGUAUCUGAGGAAUAAGCAUCGGCUAACUCUGUGCUAG